This 82-nucleotide transfer RNA is filed under the name Bacteroidales bacterium. Its description in RNAcentral is "tRNA-Leu". It matches the Rfam family "tRNA". Rfam says of the family: Transfer RNA (tRNA) molecules are approximately 80 nucleotides in length. Their secondary structure includes four short double-helical elements and three loops (D, anti-codon, and T loops). RNAcentral also lists the same sequence under 1 other name. The record is from RNAcentral. Lineage: Bacteria; Pseudomonadati; Bacteroidota; Bacteroidia; Bacteroidales.
GCGGGUAUGGCGGAACUGGUAGACGCGCCAGACUUAGGAUCUGGUGCCGCAAGGCGUGGGGGUUCAAGUCCCUUUACCCGCA